GGAAAAUGUGGUGCCACUUCCUUUUGGCCUCCGUGGUUUCUGAUGAGAAAUUCACUGUCAUUCAAAUUGUUUUUCCCCUCUAGUUUCCCCUGAUACCACAUGGGUCAAGGCAAGGCAGAGCUCUGUACCACUGGAUGGUGGUGAAAAUUAUGGUUUUCCAUCUAUCUUCCUCUGAUACUGGGGAAGGGGGAGAUGCCACCUCAUUACCACUGGGUGGAACAGAGACACCUGUGUAUACUCCAUCUUGGUCUGGAGAUCUAAUCUUACAAGAAAAGAACCCUGAGCCCCAAAGCACACGGAGAAGGGUUAGGCUUGACCGCGGCUUCCCACAGUGGCUCAGUGGAUAGACCACCAAGAUGGGACAGCGCUAAGCAGUGUUUGCUAAGCCGUGAGCUCUCAGCCUUCAACUCACAUCACACACUUGAUCUAUUUGGUAUGUUUUCAACUGCUCAGCCAUUGUACUCACUAGAUUUUGUUUUGCAGAAACAAGCCCUCCUUCUCAAAGUGAAAAUUUGCCAUUGUUUAAGAUUUAAAAGAAAAAACUCCUACUGACCCUGAACAUUUUUCUAGAAGCAAAGUUAUAGCACUGUAGCUAGAAUGCACGCUAUCCUCCAAGAGAAUUUGUUUAUUUGGGGUAUCACUUCUGAAGCGAAGUGAAGUGAAGUGAAGUAUUGUUUGUCAGACAAACCAAACAAGUCACCUUCCUUAGACAUAAUCUCUCCCUUCUAUCUUCAGUGGGUCACAGGGACCCCUGGGGGCUCUGUAUUAUUAUAACUUCCUGGAGAAAGGCCAGGCUUUGGGCUCCAAUGAAUCAACAAAAAUGUAUUGUGUGCGAAGCAUGGAGGUGCUGACAGAAGGACAACAUUUGCUUUAGCCCUGGAAGAGUCUGUUAAGGAUUCAGUGACCAGUUUCACCUGCAAAUAAGUUCUCAUCUCUUUUCAGUAUUAUAAUUACCAAACACCUAUAGGCUACAUUUCACAGGAAGUGCAGCAUUUCUGUCAACAUUUUCUUUUUUAAACCUUCAUUCCUGGGGUGCCUGGGUGGCUCAGUCGGUUAAGCGUUUGACUUCAG
Molecule: long non-coding RNA, 1071 nt
Organism: Lynx canadensis (Canada lynx)
Lineage: Eukaryota; Metazoa; Chordata; Mammalia; Carnivora; Felidae
Exons: 3
Source: RefSeq, a predicted model, not a curated record